RNAcentral lists this ribosomal RNA (964 nucleotides) under Priestia flexa. RNAcentral's name for it is "bacterial SSU rRNA". It matches the Rfam family "Bacterial small subunit ribosomal RNA", at positions 50 to 989 of the family's 1533-position model. The record is from RNAcentral. Lineage: Bacteria; Bacillati; Bacillota; Bacilli; Caryophanales; Bacillaceae.
UAUACAUGCAGUCGAGCGACUGAUUAGAAGCUUGCUUCUAUGACGUUAGCGGCGGACGGGUGAGUAACACGUGGGCAACCUGCCUGUAAGACUGGGAUAACUCCGGGAAACCGGAGCUAAUACCGGAUAACAUUUUCUCUUGCAUAAGAGAAAAUUGAAAGAUGGUUUCGGCUAUCACUUACAGAUGGGCCCGCGGUGCAUUAGCUAGUUGGUGAGGUAACGGCUCACCAAGGCAACGAUGCAUAGCCGACCUGAGAGGGUGAUCGGCCACACUGGGACUGAGACACGGCCCAGACUCCUACGGGAGGCAGCAGUAGGGAAUCUUCCGCAAUGGACGAAAGUCUGACGGAGCAACGCCGCGUGAGUGAUGAAGGCUUUCGGGUCGUAAAACUCUGUUGUUAGGGAAGAACAAGUACAAGAGUAACUGCUUGUACCUUGACGGUACCUAACCAGAAAGCCACGGCUAACUACGUGCCAGCAGCCGCGGUAAUACGUAGGUGGCAAGCGUUAUCCGGAAUUAUUGGGCGUAAAGCGCGCGCAGGCGGUUUCUUAAGUCUGAUGUGAAAGCCCACGGCUCAACCGUGGAGGGUCAUUGGAAACUGGGGAACUUGAGUGCAGAAGAGAAAAGCGGAAUUCCACGUGUAGCGGUGAAAUGCGUAGAGAUGUGGAGGAACACCAGUGGCGAAGGCGGCUUUUUGGUCUGUAACUGACGCUGAGGCGCGAAAGCGUGGGGAGCAAACAGGAUUAGAUACCCCUGGUAGUCCACGCCGUAAACGAUGAGUGCUAAGUGUUUAGAGGGUUUCCGCCCUUUAGUGCUGCAGCUAACGCAUUUAAGCACUCCGCCUGGGGGAGUACGGUCGCAAGACUGAAACUCAAAGGAAUUUGACGGGGGGCCCGCACAAGCGGUGGAGCAUGUGGUUUAAAUUCGAAGCAACGCGAAGAACCUUACCAGGUCUUGACAUCC